Molecule: ribosomal RNA, 253 nt
Filed under: uncultured bacterium
Lineage: Bacteria
Description: partial 16S ribosomal RNA
Rfam family: Bacterial small subunit ribosomal RNA
Source: RNAcentral
UACGUAGGGCGCGAGCGUUAAUCGGAAUUACUGGGCGUAAAGCGUGCGCAGGCGGUUUGGUAAGACAGAUGUGAAAUUCCCGGGCUUAACCUGGGAACUGCAUUUGUGGCUGACAGGCUAGAGUGCGGCAGAGGGGGGUGGAAUUCCGCGUGUAGCAGUGAAAUGCGUAGAUAUGCGGAGGAACACCGAUGGCGAAGGCAACUCCCUGGGCCUGCACUGACGCUCAUGCACGAAAGCGUGGGGAGCAAACAGG